This 2834-nucleotide ribosomal RNA is filed under the name Ambystoma mexicanum (axolotl). RNAcentral describes it as "eukaryotic LSU rRNA". It matches the Rfam family "Eukaryotic large subunit ribosomal RNA". The record is from RNAcentral. Lineage: Eukaryota; Metazoa; Chordata; Amphibia; Caudata; Ambystomatidae.
CUCGGCCUCAGCGGAUCGGGAAAGCGCACGAUCGGCCGCCGCGGAAGGCGUGGGGCAGUGCCAGGGCUAACCCCCCCUGCGCGGCCCGGGCCCGAGGCGCGGCCGCCCACGGACUCACGCGGCUCCCUCGACUACGACCUCAGAUCAGACGUGGGACCCGCUGAAUUUAAGCAUAUUACUAGCGAGGAAAAGAAACUAACCAGGAUUCCCUCAGUAACGGCGAGUGAAGAGGGAAGAGCCCAGCGCCGAAUCCCCGUCCGCGGCGGGCGCGGGAAAUGUGGCGUACAGAAGACCGACUCCCCGGCAUCGCUCAGGGGGCCCAAGUCCUUCUGAUCGAGGCUCAACCUCCGUGGACGGUGUUAGGCCGGUAGCGGCCCCGGCGCGCCGGGUUCGGGUCUUCUCGGAGUCGGGUUUGCUUGGGAAUGCAGCCCAAAGGGGUGGUAAACUCCAUCUAAGGCUAAAUACGGGCGCGAGACCGAUAGCCAACAAGUACCGUAAGGGAAAGUUGAAAAGAACUUUGAAGAGAGAGUUCAAGAGGGCGUGAAACCCGUCGAGAGGUAAACGGGUGGGGUCCGUGCAGUCCGCCCAGAGGAUUCAACACGGCGGGCAGGUCGGUCGCCCGGAGCGGCGGAUCCCCUCGCGGGACCGCCGCCGGGCGCCACCGGCCCCCGCAGGGUGCAUUUCUCCGUGGCAGUGCACCGCGACCGGCUCCGGGUCGGCUGGGAAGGCCCCGGGGGGCAGGUGGCUCUCUGCUCCGGCGGAGAGUGUUACAGCCCCCUGGCAGCAGUUUUCGCCGUGUCCGUGGGGAUUGACCGCCGCCGCGCGCCCUUCUCCGGCAACCGUCCGGCCCUCUCGGGGUCGCCGGGGCGGCGACGGGGGACGGGCCCCCUGCUCCCGGUGCGACUGUCGACUGGGGUGGACUGUCCUCAGUGCGCCCCCGACCGCGUCGCGCCGCCGGGCGGGAAGCCCACAAAGGGCGCCAGGGUCUGAGGUGAUGUCGGUUACCCACCCGACCCGUCUUGAACACGGACCAAGGAGUCUAACACGUGUGCGAGUCGGAGGGCGAACAAAACCCUGUGGCGCAAUGAAGGUGAGGGCCGGCGCGCGCGGCUGAGGUGGGAUCACGUUGCGGCGUCGCGGCGGGCGCACCACCGGCCCGUCUCGUCCGCUCUGUCGGGGAGGUGGAGCAUGAGCGUGUGUGAUAGGACCCGAAAGAUGGUGAACUAUGCCUGGGCAGGGCGAAGCCAGAGGAAACUCUGGUGGAGGUCCAUAGCGGUCCUGACGUGCAAAUCGUCGUCCGACCUGGGUAUAGGGCAAAAGACUAAUCGAACCAUCUAGUAGCUGGUUCCCUCCGAAGUUCCCUCAGGAUAGCUGGCGCUCGAAACCCCAGUUUUAUCUGGUAAAGCGAAUGAUUAGAGGUCUUGGGCCGAAACGAUCUCAACCUAUUCUCAAACUUUAAAUGGGUAAGAAGCCCGGCUCGCUGGCGUGGAGCCGGGCAUCGAAUGCGAGUGCCAGUGGGCCACUUUGGUAAGCAGAACUGGUGCUGCGGGAUGAACCGAACGCCGGGUUAAGGCGCCCGAUGCCGACGCUCAUCAGACCCCAGAAAAGGUGUUUGGUUGAUAUAGACAGCAGGACGGUGGCCAUGGAAGUCAGAAUCCGCUAAGGAGUGUGUAACAACUCACCUGCCGAAUCAACUAGCCCUGAAAAUGGAUGGCGCUGGAGCGUCGGCCCAUACCCGGCCGUCGCUGCGCUGAGAGCCGCGGGGGCCAGACUUCCCUUACCUACAUGUUGGAACAAUGUAGGUAAGGGAAGUCGGCAAGUCUCUCUCGCUGGUCCUUGAAAAUCGCGGGGAGAUGGUGUAAAUCUCGCGCCGGGGCCGUACCCAUAUCCGCAGCAGGUCUCCAAGGUGAACAGCCUCUGGCAUGUUGGAACAAUGUAGGUAAGGGAAGUCGGCAAGUCAGAUCCGUAACUUCGGGAUAAGGAUUGGCUCUAAGGACUGGGUCGGUCGGGCUGGGCGCGAAAGCGGGGCUGGGCGCGCACCGCGGCUGGACGAGGCGUCACCCCCCCGGGGGCGGCGCCGACUCUGGACGCGAGCCGGGCCCUUCCUGUGGAUCGCCCCAGCUGCGGUGGUCGCCUCUCUCCGUUCCCCUCCCCGGGUUCGGGGGCGGCGUUCUGCCUCGGCCGACGCUAGCAGCUGACUUAGAACUGGUGCGGACCAGGGGAAUCCGACUGUUUAAUUAAAACAAAGCAUCGCGAAGGCCCGCGGUGGGUGUUGACGCGAUGUGAUUUCUGCCAGAAAUCAAAGUGCCGCUGAAUGUCAAAGUGAAGAAAUUCAAUGAAGCGCGGGUAAACGGCGGGAGUAACUAUGACUCUCUUAAGGUAGCCAAAUCCCACUCGUCAUCUAAUUAGUGACGCGCAUUAAUGGAUGAACGAGAUUCCCACUGUCCCUACCUACUGUUGAGCUUGACUCUAGUCUGGCACUGUGAAGAGAUAUGAGAGGUGUAGGAUAAGUGGGAGGCCCUCGGGCCGCCGGCGAAAUACCACUACUCUUAUUGUUUUUUUCACUUACCCGGUGAGGCGUACUACUGAUGAUGUUGUUGCAAUAGUAAUCCUGCCUCAGUACGAGAGGAACCGCAGGUUCAGACAUUUGGUGUAUGUGCUUGGCUGAGGAGCCAAUGGGCGAAGCUACCAUCUGUGGAUUAUGACUGAACGCCUCUAAGUCAGAAUCCCCCCUAAACCGUAACGUUACCGCAGCGCUGUGGGAGCCUCGGUUGGCCUAGGAUAGCGGCCCUGGGCCGGUGCGUUAGAGCCGCUCGCCCUCGGACUCGAGUUGU